GAUGAACGCUGGCGGCGUGCCUAAUACAUGCAAGUCGAGCGAACAGACGAGGAGCUUGCUCCUCUGACGUUAGCGGCGGACGGGUGAGUAACACGUGGAUAACCUACCUAUAAGACUGGGAUAACUUCGGGAAACCGGAGCUAAUACCGGAUAAUAUAUUGAACCGCAUGGUUCAAUAGUGAAAGACGGUUUUGCUGUCACUUAUAGAUGGAUCCGCGCCGCAUUAGCUAGUUGGUAAGGUAACGGCUUACCAAGGCAACGAUGCGUAGCCGACCUGAGAGGGUGGGAGCCAACGCGGAAACGGAACCCGGGUCCAGACCCCUGGGGGGGGCAGAGGAAGGGAAUUUUCAGCAAGGGAGAAAAGCGUGAGGGACCGGCGCGGGGUGAGUAAUGAGGGUCUUGGGAUCGAAAACUUUUGUUAUGGGGGAAAAACAAAUGUGAAAGUAACUAUGCACGCCUUAGGGGUACCUAAUCAAAAGGCCCGGGCUAACUCGGGC
RNAcentral lists this ribosomal RNA (497 nucleotides) under uncultured bacterium. RNAcentral describes it as "partial 16S ribosomal RNA". It matches the Rfam family "Bacterial small subunit ribosomal RNA", at positions 28 to 508 of the family's 1533-position model. The record is from RNAcentral.